Molecule: ribosomal RNA, 325 nt
Filed under: uncultured eukaryote
Lineage: Eukaryota
Description: partial 18S ribosomal RNA
Rfam family: Eukaryotic small subunit ribosomal RNA
Source: RNAcentral
CCCUUAGAUGUCCUGGGCCGCACGCGCGCUACAAUGAUACACGCAACGAGUCCACCUUGUCCGAAAGGUCCGGGUAAUCUUGGAAAUGUGUAUCGUACUAGGGAUAGAUUUUUGCAAUUCUGAAUCUUGAACGAGGAAUUCCUAGUAAAUGCGAGUCAUCAGCUCGCGUUGAUUACGUCCCUGCCCUUUGUACACACCGCCCGUCGCUCCUACCGAUUGAGUGGUCCGGUGAGGCUUUGGGAUCUGAGCGGAAAGAGCGUUUCGCUGUUUCUGCUCGGAAAACUCAGUCGAACCUUAUCAUUUAGAGGAAGGAGAAGUCGUAACA